CUCAUAAAUGUGCAUGCACUAGCCUCAUGGCAUCAGGCCUGAUUGUGUGCUCUGGCUAGCAUCACAAUGAAUGUCAACAUUGCCUAACGACAAGUCCCUGAAGCUUGGAGGAGAUCUUCCUGGAGUUGGAUCAGCAGUGGACUCUAGCCUGUCUUCUUUGUGGAAUCCACGAGAUAGUCCCAUGAUCCUAGGAGAGGCAGAUAUGAGCCAGCCAGAAAAAACGUCAAGCACAGCCCCAGGAAUAAACUGUGAAACCCUUGAAGAUGCAAAAUGAUCCGCAGGAUUCUUCAGACCUGCCUAGAUGUUGUAUGGGUGAAUGUGCAGGACCCCAUCCACACCUUACCAGAUUGUAUCCUCACCGCUAUCUGACGUUAUUGUUGCUCACACCCUAUGUCCCAGAAUGAAAUACCAAAAUGAUGAAGGAUUGCUCCCUCAUGACCUGAAGCACUUGCUUACCUGGGAACUGAAUUUGAGGGGGAAGAUAUUUGGUCCCUGGAGGGUAUUGGCCAGACUCCUAAUUCACUGCAGACUCAAGAUCCACAGAAAAAUAAAGAACACGGUGCCCCACAGCCCAAGCAGAGCCACAAAGAGAGGCCACCAAAAGGAGGAGGUUAUUUGGACCCUCACAGGUCUCAGCCAGCCUUCCAAUUCACUAUAAAUUAAUGAUCCACAGAAGAAUAAAGAAUGUUGAGCCCUACAUCACAAGCAAGCCACAGAGAUAGACCAUCAGAAGCUUGGGAGAAUCAAAAAAUAAAAAAAAGAAGAGCUGCA
Molecule: long non-coding RNA, 771 nt
Organism: Symphalangus syndactylus (siamang)
Lineage: Eukaryota; Metazoa; Chordata; Mammalia; Primates; Hylobatidae
Source: RefSeq, a predicted model, not a curated record